AUUGACCGCUGGCGGCAGGCCUAACACAUGCAAGUCGAGCGAGCGGCGGACGGGUGAGUAAUGUAUGGGGACUGCCCGAUAGAGGGGGAUCACUACUGGAAAAGGUAGCUACUACAGCAUACUAUCGGAUAACCCAUAUAGGAUUAGCUAGUAGGUGAGGUAAUGGCUAACCUAGGCGACGAGCCCUAGCUGGUCUGAGAGGAUGAUCAGCCACACUGGGAGUGAGAAACGGCCCAGACUCCUACGGAGGUAGCAGUGGGGAAUAUUUCACAAUGGGCGCAAGCCUGAUGCAGCCAUGCCGCGUGUAUGAAGAAGGCCCUAGGGUUGUAAAGUACUUUCAGUCGGGAGGCGUUACCGACAGAAGAAGCACAGGCUAACUCCGUGCCAGCCGCCGCGGUAAUUC
This 403-nucleotide ribosomal RNA is filed under the name uncultured bacterium. Its description in RNAcentral is "partial 16S ribosomal RNA". It matches the Rfam family "Bacterial small subunit ribosomal RNA", at positions 30 to 526 of the family's 1533-position model. The record is from RNAcentral.